AUGAAAAGAGGUUUGGGGUUUGGAACAGCAAACGUUGUCCAGCCUUAAACACUCAACAUCCACACCUUGUGAACUGUAAUGUAUCUGGCGGCUUUUCUGUUGGUGUCUGGAAAGACAUUUUUGGGGGGCCGCCAGUUGUUUUUAAUCAACACGUUUGUUAAACUUGAGCCUAAGUGAAUUUUCUAUUGCAAAAAUUGUACAAA
This 203-nucleotide unclassified non-coding RNA is filed under the name soil metagenome. RNAcentral's name for it is "partial internal transcribed spacer 1". The record is from RNAcentral.